This is a long non-coding RNA of Balaenoptera ricei (Rice's whale), 283 nucleotides long. RefSeq lists it as uncharacterized. The transcript has 3 exons. NCBI's taxonomy places the organism in Eukaryota, Metazoa, Chordata, Mammalia, Artiodactyla, Balaenopteridae. The record is from RefSeq and is a predicted model, not a curated record.
AGAACUGUUGCAAAAUACACCUUAAGUUUUUACAUGAACCAGGAGGACGAUGAAGCAGAAACAGCAUUCCUCUCGAAAAUCACGUGCACAGUGGCCAGUCAUUUUCAGAGGACUAUUCUGAGAAGGUUUCAAUGAUCCCCGUUAGAGUUCGAGGGUAUUCCCAUCAUUCACCCUUUCCAAUAUGCCUCCAACCAGCGUUUCCAGUUUCCUCUCUCAAGACUCACAACCAUCCUCACUGCUGCUGCCAGAGCUGCUCGCUCACCCGCACUCUACACAACACAAU